This is a non-coding RNA of Labrus bergylta (ballan wrasse), 262 nucleotides long. The record is from RefSeq and is a predicted model, not a curated record. NCBI's taxonomy places the organism in Eukaryota, Metazoa, Chordata, Actinopteri, Labriformes, Labridae.
AACCACUUCUAUUCUGAGUUAGACAGACAUGUCCCUCGUCUUCAGAGUUUGUUCAGGAAGAAAGCUGCGCGCACAGGGAAGGUGUCCGAAGUCCUGGAUCAGCUCUUCAACACUUAUGACCGCCAGGAACAAGUUGACGUCAAUGUCCUCCGUGCUGCCGUCCUCCGUGCUCUCCCUACAUAUCUGCAUGAGGAUGACUCCGGAUUUCUGAAGCUGUGGGAUCAGGCCCUGUCAGAUGAACUGCAAAUCGACAACAUACCAG